Molecule: transfer RNA, 75 nt
Filed under: Chitinophagaceae bacterium
Lineage: Bacteria; Pseudomonadati; Bacteroidota; Chitinophagia; Chitinophagales; Chitinophagaceae
Description: tRNA-Lys
Source: RNAcentral
GGAAGGGCCGAAUGGUGGUUAGUGCAUCCCGACUUUUAGUCGGGAGGGUCGCUGGUUCGAUCCCAGCAGGGUCCA